This 63-nucleotide transfer RNA is filed under the name Amblyomma tholloni. RNAcentral's name for it is "tRNA-Leu". Lineage: Eukaryota; Metazoa; Arthropoda; Arachnida; Ixodida; Ixodidae. The record is from RNAcentral.
AUUAAAGUGACAGAAAAAUGUAAGGAAUUUAAGCUUCCUUUAUGAACCUAAGUUCCUUUAAUA